Molecule: ribosomal RNA, 402 nt
Filed under: uncultured bacterium
Lineage: Bacteria
Description: partial 16S ribosomal RNA
Rfam family: Bacterial small subunit ribosomal RNA
Source: RNAcentral
UGGGGAAUCUUAGACAAUGGGGGCAACCCUGAUCUAGCCAUGCCGCGUGAGUGAUGAAGGCCUUAGGGUUGUAAAGCUCUUUCAGCUGGGAAGAUAAUGACGGUACCAGCAGAAGAAGCCCCGGCUAACUCCGUGCCAGCAGCCGCGGUAAUACGGAGGGGGCUAGCGUUGUUCGGAAUUACUGGGCGUAAAGCGCACGUAGGCGGACCGGAAAGUUGGGGGUGAAAUCCCGGGGCUCAACCUCGGAACUGCCUUCAAAACUAUCAGUCUGGAGUUCGAGAGAGGUGAGUGGAAGUCCGAGUGUAGAGGUGAAAUUCGUAGAUAUUCGGAGGAACACCAGUGGCGAAGGCGGCUCACUGGCUCGAUACUGACGCUGAGGUGCGAAAGCGUGGGGAGCAAACA